This 340-nucleotide long non-coding RNA is filed under the name Chrysemys picta bellii (western painted turtle). RNAcentral's name for it is "lncRNA (ENSCPBG00000008221.1)". The record is from RNAcentral. Lineage: Eukaryota; Metazoa; Chordata; Testudines; Emydidae.
ACGCUACAGAGGCUGUCUGACAACUCCUUCCAGGGGAUGAAGAUGUGGGGGGGACUAUAUCUCGAAGAAGCUCUGGCAAGAGCCAGCUGGACCCAGCUGUGAUCAUAUGCAAUGCUGAUCAGUUAGAACUCAGACACAGAAAGAAGCAGACCUCGGUCAGACUCCCUGGUUCUGAGUCAUCACUGAACACUACAAUAUUCAUGGAUAUACUAAGUCACAGACACUGAUUAGGUUGUAAGCUCUUUAGGGCAAGGACCAUCUUUUCAUCAUAUAUUUGCCUGAUUGGGGCCUCCGAACAAUCAGGAAAUAAUAAUUUCAAAUGUAUGCUUCAAAGGCAAGU